This 495-nucleotide ribosomal RNA is filed under the name uncultured bacterium. Its description in RNAcentral is "partial 16S ribosomal RNA". It matches the Rfam family "Bacterial small subunit ribosomal RNA", at positions 28 to 507 of the family's 1533-position model. The record is from RNAcentral.
GACGAACGCUGGCGGCGUGCCUAAUACUUGCAAGUAGAACGCUGAAGGAGGAGCUUGCUCUUCUGGAUGAGUUGCGAACGGGUGAGUAACGCGUAGGUAACCUGCCUGGUAGCGGGGGAUAACUAUUGGAAACGAUAGCUAAUACCGCAUAAGAGUAGAUGUUGCAUGACAUUUACUUAAAAGGUGCAAUUGCAUCACUACCAGAUGGACCUGCGUUGUAUUAGCUAGUUGGUGGGGUAACGGCUUACCAAGGCGACGAUACAUAGCCGACCUGAGAGGGUGAUCGGCCACACUGGGACUGAGACACGGCCCAGACUCCUACGGGAGGCAGCAGUAGGGAAUCUUCGGCAAUGGACGGAAGUCUGACCGAGCAACGCCGCGUGAGUGAAGAAGGUUUUCGGAUCGUAAAGCUCUGUUGUAAGAGAAGAACGAGUGUGAGAGUGGAAAGUUCACACUGUGACGGUAUCUUACCAGAAAGGGACGGCUAACUACGUG